RNAcentral lists this small RNA (613 nucleotides) under Acrogenospora carmichaeliana. RNAcentral's name for it is "eukaryotic LSU rRNA". The stretch from base 221 to 374 matches the Rfam family "5.8S ribosomal RNA". Lineage: Eukaryota; Fungi; Ascomycota; Dothideomycetes; Minutisphaerales; Acrogenosporaceae. The record is from RNAcentral.
AACAAGGUUUCCGUAGGUGAACCUGCGGAAGGAUCAUUAAUAAAGUAAAAAUUCAAGAACUGGGGAGCCUGGAUGAAACCGGUGCUCGCCUGUAUCUUAAACCCCGUGCGAGAGCAUAACUGUUGCUUCGGCGCCCGUCUGGCCCCUGCGCCUGGGCGUCAAAGGACCUCAAAACACAUGUUUUAACAAGUGCCGUCAGAGUUAUUAAAGAUAAAAUUAAAACUUUCAACAACGGAUCUCUUGGUUCUCGCAUCGAUGAAGAACGCAGCGAAAUGCGAUAAGUAAUGUGAAUUGCAGAAUUCAGUGAAUCAUCGAAUCUUUGAACGCACAUUGCGCCCUUUGGUAUUCCGAGGGGCAUGCCUUUUCGAGCGUCAUUACAACAAUCCAGCUUCCGGUUGCGUAGAGAUAUGCAAUGUGGUGGCUGGCGCUUGGGCGAUCGUCUGCGAACUGCAGACGGGCCUCAAAGACCAUGGCAGCCUUGUCUGUUGGCACUAGCGUAGUAUAUAUACAAAGCGCUAUGGUGUCCUUCGCUGGCUUGUCCACACAACUUCAUCAGUACCAGUUUGACCUCGGAUAAGGUAGGGAUACCCGCUGAACUUAAGCAUAUCAAUAA